Helianthus annuus (common sunflower) is the source of this 670-nucleotide long non-coding RNA. RefSeq lists it as uncharacterized. The record is from RefSeq and is a predicted model, not a curated record. Lineage: Eukaryota; Viridiplantae; Streptophyta; Magnoliopsida; Asterales; Asteraceae. The transcript has 4 exons.
GAUUGCCCUGAAUGUUCAAUUAGACUGUCCAUGGUUAAAAAGAAAAAGUCAGCCAUACACCAAAUAAAACAUCCCUGAGCAGUGAGCAUUCAAAAUUUAAUCACACCUCCCCCUUCCCCAGAGACACCUCGCUGGGUGAUUUCAAUCUACACAAAAGGUACUCAUUGUAUUUUUGGAUUCAUCAACAAACUUUGUCAAAUGGUGAAGGAAGAAAGAUUACAAAUAUGAAGUUCAACAGAUCCAGGUGUUUUGGACAUUCAUUUGGAUUCUAGAAAUGGCUUAUGUUGCUGCUGGCUUAGUGGGAGCAACUUCAUCCAUCACUUGGAGUAAAUAUGCAACGGAGCUAUUUCAUUUAAAGAUGGAAUGUAAAUUGAGCGUCAAAACUAAGAAUGGCAAUUUUACAUAAGCUCAAAAUGCUCCGGAGGUCGCCCACAGUCGAGGAAUAAGAGGUUGAAGAAAAAUACACUUACAUAUAGAUAGCACUUGUGAAGAAUCUUUUAAUCCGCAAAAGUGUUACUGUAUCCUUUUAAACCGUUCUUUACUUAUUUUCCUAAUAAGAAGAUGAUGAUAAUUGAAAAAAUCUAGAGUAGUUUUAGUGUGCCUUAAUGAUGAUAGAUGGAAUGGAGUGAACCAUUUAUUCAAAUAUUCAUAAAAUUUGUUGUUGGUUUUG